ACAAAUUGAAUUGGGUUAGUAGGAAAUGUAAAAUGUGAAUAAGUAGAAAAAGUUCUUUGAACUCAAUGACACAAUUGUACAACCUAAAGAACAGACUUGUCGAAGUAAGGUCGUAAAGCAGGUAAGACUCUAGUCUAGUCAUAUCUAAAAUGAAGGAGGUAUACAGCUUUCCCAUUGUUGUUUCUCAAGAGUUUAACUUGCAUGUAUCCCAUGUGGCUAUUUUUCCAAGAAGGAUCCUUAACUUUUUCCCUGUAAUGUACUUGAAGGAAAGAAAGUGGCAUCCCACAAAGCACAAUCAGUUACUUUUUCUCCCAAACUUAUUAUUUAAACAGCUUUUUCUAAGUUUCCAAAGAAAGCCACUGCUCAUACAAUCUGUUCUUUUAAGAAACCAACAAUGAAUUGCUGUCUAAAUCUUACCUCUUUCAUCCCAGCUCUUCUUUUGGCAGCUUUUUCCCUAACCGUUUUCCCUUCUCAUGGAAUCCCCCAUGAAAAUCUGGUCACCAUUUGCUCUAAAACCUCCAAUCCGUCGCUCUGUGAGAAAAUCCUUAAUAAUGAUUCCCGUACCGUCUCGGCCAACCUCCCUAAGCUCUCACUUAUAUGCAGCAAUCUGGCCAAGAAACAAGCAGAUCAAAACCUUGAUACCUUCUACAAACUAAGUAAGAAUGAGAGUGAUCCCGAGGAGAAGAAAAGUUUUGAGCAUUGUGUGAAGUAUUACCAUGAAAUUCAAUCAAAUAUCCAAAAAGCUUAUCAGUUCUCACAGCAGAAGAUCUUCAGAGAGAAUGGUCCAUUGGUGGCAUCAAAGAGACUUGUUCUAAAGUGUAGUCAAGCCAUUAGAAUCAAUUCAUUGUAUAUUGAAGUCAUGAACAAACUUAUGAUCCUAUGUUGUGAUAUUUCAAUAAGCGUAAAUCAAUGUGCUGCUGCUAAUGGUCACCAUUCAGUAAAUGUUUGAUAAAAGCAAUAAGUAAUGAAACAAUGAACAUUACUUAUUGUUCUUAUUGUUUUGUUUGAGUUUGUCUGUUGAAUAUGAACUAAAUAAGUUUGUUAGUUGAAUUUUUCUUCUACGUAAUGUUUUGAUUUAUCCCUAGACUAAGAAAAGUAAAUGAUGAAAGAGAUAAAUUGAAAAAUUUUGUAAUUAUAUGGAAAAGAAAUGUGAAUCGUGGAAGUUUUAGAAAAAGAGUAUAACAUGCAAGGAAGAAAUUUGAAUUCUUGAAUGUACCACUAUAGCAUGCAAGAUCAGAUUUGUUUCUCUCAACUUGUAAUUUCCAAAACGAUAUGCAAAAAGAUCUACUAUAGCUAAGUAUAAACCAACAAACAAUUAAUAUAUAUCUUCCUUUUUACUUUAAUUUGAGUUAUUUGAACUGAAAUCACCAACCAGAAAAUCAAGAGAAAAUGUAUAAGAAUGCAUGCCAAGAUUGUGCAUAAAAUAGCAGCACAAUAGCAGCACAAAGUAUCCUAUAAAAGCUACUCUCACCUUAUUCUGCUUUUGUCAGAAUUCCAAACAUUAGCACCCAAGUAAGAAUCGCUUUCUCAUAUUCUUCAUAACUGCUAACCUUCUUCCUCACUCUCUUCAUUGUUCAUCCAGCUUUGGGUGACCCGGCAACACAGCAGCAGAUAAAUCGAAUAUGCCAUCAAAAUGAGGAUUAUGGGUUUUGCAAUAAAACCUUCAAUGAAAAUCUGAAAGGUCCAGCAGAUGAU
Molecule: long non-coding RNA, 1695 nt
Filed under: Cucumis sativus (cucumber)
Lineage: Eukaryota; Viridiplantae; Streptophyta; Magnoliopsida; Cucurbitales; Cucurbitaceae
Description: long non-coding RNA (CSAT_LNC000519)
Source: RNAcentral